This 153-nucleotide signal recognition particle RNA is filed under the name Acidobacteriota bacterium. RNAcentral describes it as "Acidobacteria bacterium (hydrothermal vent metagenome) signal recognition particle sRNA large type". The stretch from base 30 to 129 matches the Rfam family "Bacterial small signal recognition particle RNA". Rfam says of the family: The signal recognition particle (SRP) is a universally conserved ribonucleoprotein involved in the co-translational targeting of proteins to membranes. Archaeal SRP consists of a 7S RNA and homologues of the eukaryotic SRP19 and SRP54 proteins. Lineage: Bacteria; Pseudomonadati; Acidobacteriota. The record is from RNAcentral.
UUCUUCCCGAAGCGAUGGGUCGCACCGUGGCUCGGAUCCUGUGCGAUUUCAGCCUGCGAACCGCGUCAGGGCCGGAAGGCAGCAGCGCUAAGUAGAUACUGACAUGUGCCGCAGGUCUCUCCGGGCCGCGGUGGGACCCAUCGCUUCGGGAAG